RNAcentral lists this transfer RNA (85 nucleotides) under Candidatus Omnitrophota bacterium. RNAcentral describes it as "tRNA-Leu". It matches the Rfam family "tRNA". From Rfam's summary of the family: Transfer RNA (tRNA) molecules are approximately 80 nucleotides in length. Their secondary structure includes four short double-helical elements and three loops (D, anti-codon, and T loops). Further hydrogen bonds mediate the characteristic L-shaped molecular structure. tRNAs have two regions of fundamental functional importance: the anti-codon, which is responsible for specific mRNA codon recognition, and the 3' end, to which the tRNAs corresponding amino acid is attached (by aminoacyl-tRNA synthetases). tRNAs cope with the degeneracy of the genetic code in two manners: having more than one tRNA (with a specific anti-codon) for a particular amino acid; and 'wobble' base-pairing, i.e. permitting non-standard base-pairing at the 3rd anti-codon position. The record is from RNAcentral. Lineage: Bacteria; Pseudomonadati; Candidatus Omnitrophota.
GCGCAGGUGGCGGAAUUGGCAGACGCGCAAGAAUGAGGGUCUUGUGCCGUUUUCAGGCGUGGGGGUUCAACUCCCCCCCUGCGCA